Molecule: ribosomal RNA, 301 nt
Filed under: uncultured bacterium
Lineage: Bacteria
Description: partial 16S ribosomal RNA
Rfam family: Bacterial small subunit ribosomal RNA
Source: RNAcentral
CAGUAGCCACGGUAAUACGUAGGUCCCGAGCGUUGUCCGGAUUUAUUGGGCGUAAAGCGAGCGCAGGCGGUUAGAUAAGUCUGAAGUUAAAGGCUGUGGCUUAACCAUAGUACGCUUUGGAAACUGUUUAACUUGAGUGCAAGAGGGGAGAGUGGAAUUCCAUGUGUAGCGGUGAAAUGCGUAGAUAUAUGGAGGAACACCGGUGGCGAAAGCGGCUCUCUGGAUUGUAACUGACGCUGAGGCUCGAAAGCGUGGGGAGCAAACAGGAUUAGAUACCCCAGUAGUCCCUGUCUCUUAUACA